GACGAACGCUGGCGGCGUGCUUAACACAUGCAAGUCGAACGGAAAGGCCCUGCUGUUGUGGGGUGCUCGAGUGGCGAACGGGUGAGUAACACGUGUGUACCCUGCACUUGACUUUGGGAUAACUUCAUGAAACUGGGGCUAAUACCGGAUAGGAGCUCCGGCUGCAUGGUGGGGGUUGGAAAGUUUCGGCGGUUGGGGAUGGACUCGCGGCUUAUCAGCUUGUUGGUGGGGUAGUGGCUUACCAAGGCUUUGACGGGUAGCCGGCCUGCGAGGGUGACCGGCCACAUUGGGACUGAGAUACGGCCCAGCCUCCUACGGGAGGCAGCAGUGGGGAAUAUUGCCCAAUGGGCGGAAGCCUGAUGCAGCCACGCCGCGUGCGGGAUGACGGCCUUCGGGUUGUAAACCGCUUUCGCCUGUGACGAAGAGUGAGUGACGGUAAUGGGUAAAGAAGCACCGGCUAACUACGUG
This 468-nucleotide ribosomal RNA is filed under the name uncultured bacterium. RNAcentral's name for it is "partial 16S ribosomal RNA". It matches the Rfam family "Bacterial small subunit ribosomal RNA", at positions 28 to 507 of the family's 1533-position model. The record is from RNAcentral.